GCAUAUCAAUAAGCGGAGGAAAAGAAACUAACAAGGAUUCCCCUAGUAACGGCGAGUGAAGAGGGAAGAGCUCAAAUUUUAAAUCUGCCUUGUUUCAAGGUCGAGUUGUAAUUUGAAGAAGCGUUUUCUUGGGCUCGCGACCGGUAGAAGUUCUUUGGAACAGGACAUCAUAGAGGGUGACAAUCCCGUCUGCGACCGGUCGUGCGUUCAUCUACGAUACGCUUUCAAAGAGUCGAGUUGUUUGGGAUUGCAGCUCCAAAUGGGUGGUAAACAUCACCUAAGGCUAAAUAUUGGCGAGAGACCGAUAGCGAACAAGUACCGUGAGGGAAAGAUGAAAAGAACUUUGAAAAGAGAGUUAAACAGUACGUGAAAUUGUUGAAAGGGAAACGAUUGAAGUCAGUCGUGCUGGCGCGAAAUCAACCCUCUCGUCGAGAGAACACAUGGCGUGGCGAGCCUCAAAACCGUCACGAAGCGAGAACUCUUGGCGAAAAGGAGCACUUUCGUGUCCGCUGGUUAACAUCAAUUUCGAACGUCAUAAAAAGGCUGGAGGGAUGUGGCUCCUUCGGGAGUGUUAUAACCUUUAGCGGAAUGUGGUGGUCGGGAUUGAGGAUUGCAACGAAUACCUUUAGGGCUGUUCCACCUGGCUUCUCUUUGGUAUCCUGGUGACAGACAGCUUGCUGACAGUUGUUAGGAUUCGCCUUUGAACAGGCUAGAGUGUGAGCAAAUUCGUUAAGGAUGUUGACGUAAUGGCUUUAAACGAC
RNAcentral lists this ribosomal RNA (761 nucleotides) under Entrophospora claroidea. RNAcentral describes it as "partial 28S large subunit ribosomal RNA". It matches the Rfam family "Eukaryotic large subunit ribosomal RNA", at positions 38 to 648 of the family's 3401-position model. The record is from RNAcentral. Lineage: Eukaryota; Fungi; Glomeromycota; Glomeromycetes; Entrophosporales; Entrophosporaceae.